Molecule: long non-coding RNA, 3345 nt
Organism: Passer domesticus (house sparrow)
Lineage: Eukaryota; Metazoa; Chordata; Aves; Passeriformes; Passeridae
Exons: 2
Source: RefSeq, a predicted model, not a curated record
UCCCUUCCCAGCUCCGUUCCCUUCCCUGGCCCCGCUCCAGCCCCUCCAUUCCCCGUGUGAGGGCCCAGAGGUGACCCAGCACUGGAGCUGUGGCCUCAGCAGGGCCAGCACAGGGCCGGGCACUGCCCCGCUCCCGCUGCCACCCACGGCUGGCACAGCCCAGGGGCCAUCGGCUCUUGGCCGCCUGGGCACCCCUGGGCUCUGUCCGGCUGCAGCUAUAAACCCCUCAUAAAUAAGGGAUUUUGAUGUUUCUUACAGGAAUCCACUUCUCCCUCACCCACAGGCUGCUCGCUGUGGUUUAAAAAACAGCCUUGGCCCCAGGUGCUGCCUGAGCACCCAGUGUGGGGCUGCUCUGGAGGAGUUUGGUAUCCAGGGAUCUCCCAGCUGCAGGAUGAGGGGGCAGAAGGGGCUGUCCAGGGAGAUGGUGGAAGUCACUGAAGUCCCUGGAAGAGUUUAAGGAAAGGCUGGAAGUGGAGCUCAGUACCAUGGUCUGGGUGGCACGGUGGUGUUCAGUCGUGGGCUGGACUUGAUGACCUCAGAGCUCAUUUCCAACCUAACUGAUUCCAUGAUUCUGCGAGUUUGCUUAUUUCAGGACUCAGUGCAAUUCCUCAGGUGGAGUCAGCCCAGCUUUGGAGUCUGGAUUUUCAUAUUCCUUGGCUGAUGCCAGUGUGGCUGAUGAAGUUUUGCUGCCAGUGAGAGGCACUCACUUUCAGGUUGAACAUUAAUUCUUCAGGAAAAACGGGAAUCCUUUUCCAAAUUUCCACUGCUAGGUGACAGCCCUUCAAACUGCAAAGAGAACAUAUUCCAGUCACAGGGGUGUAUAUAAUUAAAGUAAUUAAGGCAUAGCUGGGAGCUCCUGCUUUUCCCACAUGAUGCCUUUGCUGACACAAACCAUUAUCUCUGUUUUUUCCUUCCCUGCCAUUUACUAGAAUUUGCUCCUUUUCCACUGGAAAAACAGAAAAGCUGGGCAGCAAGAGUGAUAGCAGCUGGUAAAAAAUUCUACAGCACCUGCUGGAACAUAAAAUUGUCAGCACAGUAGGAUUACAACCCAGGGUAAUUUUACACUGCAGCUGGCACUGGUGUGAAAGGGUCUGUGUUCACAGGCAGUGCGAGAGACAAAGUUUGGAGGUUUUAUUGUUGGACACACUGAGCCCUCUGCAGGUGUUUGGUGCUGGCUUUGGUUCUGUCUGCUUCCAGAAUUCAGUUUGGUGCUUGGUUUUAAAUCAAGGAGUUUUUAUUGCGUUAUAAAAAGUUGUGGUAUCAUCCCUUCCCCACCCUCGUAUAUUUGUCUUGCAGUUGGUCUGCCUCAAGCACAGCACUUUUCUCUCCUGACAGAGGUAUGGGUAAGUGAAGUGUUCCCUUUCACCUCCCAAAUCAAAAGGAUAUAUUAAAAAUCCAAACUAUUUGUAGGGAGGCCUUCCUUUCCCCCCCAGAAGCCUCAAGAUUCAUUUUUUUUGUUGUUGAAACCAUUGCAUUUCAGAUUCCUGGUCUACCACAUGAGAUUAAACUAGAUGGUGCUGAUUUAGCAGACAAGAUUGGCUCAUACUAUUAAAAAAAAAAAAAAUGGAAACAAAUAUUGUAAUAGAAGCAGCUGGCCAGGUCAGUCUUCUUGUUGUAAUUACCCAGUGGAAAAAUUAAUGUUGAUUUUGCCUAUUCCAUGUUUAUUUUUUACCAGUCUGUGUUUUCAGGUUGCUGCUUCAACGUAAUUGAAAAAAAAAAUUGAUGUAGCAUUUACUAUGCACAUAAAAUUCUAAUAGUUGAAUCUAUUAAUAUGUCAUUAUUAAAAAAAACCCCAAACUUGUGUUGGUUUCAACAGCAAGACUAGCUUCCAUAAAGAAAUAAGUAAUAAUUGCUGCUGCCAGACUUCCCUGCAAUUUUUUAGAUCUGAGAUUUCUUUCUGGUGCUCGUGUGAUUGAAUUCUUCCUGCUGGAUUAGUCUGGAAAAAGGAAGAGAGUAAUGAUGGGUGUUCAAACUGUGCCUGGGCCGAUGAAACUGAAUAUCAGCACUGUUCCUCUUUACUCAGGACAGCUCCAAACAAACAAAAAAGGAAUGUGGUGUUUACCCGUGUGACUCAGCCCUGCCUCUGACACACCUCUAAAACACAUCAAAAGUACCUUCCACAAGGGUUCAAAAUGCCACUGCAGCUACAAUUUAUUCAUUUUAAUUUACUAAUUUUUUUGCAGUCAGCAUAAAUUGUGUCUAUGUGGCUUGUACACAACUUACAGACCCAACAGAUUACACCUCUUGGAUUCACCUCUUCAAAAUGUGGAAAGUAUUUCAAUAACUGAGACAUUUUAAAACAAAAGCCUUCCAACAUACACCAUUUAGUAGCAAAGGUUUUUUUCUGUACACUGAUUUAAGUUUGGAGAAAUUUGCAUAGGUCCUGUAAUUCCUAAUAAAGGAACCAAUUUUGCUGUUGCCAACCUUGUACUGCUAAAACAGAUUUUAUAUGUACAUAUAAUAAUUUGUAUUUAUACCAUAUUUACUUUUAAAGUGGACAGGAAUCACAGUGAAUACAUUCUGCAUAUGUGUCCAUAGACUGAGGGUUACCUCAGCGAUUCAGAUAUUGCUCUCCUAAAGAAAAUAUAAAAAUAUUUAAAUUUAUAUUACCUACCCUGAGUACUUAUGAGAAAAUACUGUCUGAUUAUUUCCACCUGGGGAAUGUCUGCCAAAGAAGAGUCAAAAUAAAAUUUGCUUCCGUCUGGGCUUUCAAGAAACCAAGCAAAACAACAAAAAAUGAAUAGAAAUGUUUUUUUAUUUUUCUUUAACAGCCAUGGCAGGAGGAGAGAGCACGGGGGUGUCUGCAGCUGUUUAGAAAAAGAGCAAAAUCUGGAGACUCCUCACAUGAGCAGAUGGGGAGAAGCCCAAAAUGGGAAGAAUAAUUGGAAGAAUACAUUUGGGACGCAGACACACAACGUGUGCCCGUGACAGGCUGGAACAUCAAGGAGUGCUGGGGCAGGGGAAGCAGAGCAGGAGAAGCAGAAGCAAAAAGAACCAUCACAAGAACUGCCCCUGCUCUGGUUUUCAUCACCUAAAUCAUCAUCUAAACCACCACUCUCCAGCUUGCCUUGCUUGGGCAGCUGCUGAGCCAGGCAGGGAUAUGUGUUUGAAGAGAUAAACACGUGGGGUGGGCGUUGGGUUUUGGCUGAGAACAGCCCAGGGAGUUGUCUACCCGCGCUGCAGAGCUGCCCACAGGGGAGAAGCAGUGAUAUGGCUGUUGGCUGUGGUUGAAAUCACUCCCCACAGUGAUUGCAAAACACAGAGAGAGAGAGGGGGAGAAGCUGUGGAAGGUAAAGGAGAAGCAGGAACUCGUAAUUGCACAGUGCCACAUGAAGGUCAGGUUAG